CAACCUGCCCAUCACUUGGGGAUAACCUCGCGAAAGUAAGACUAAUACCCGAUGAUAUCUCAAGAAGACAUCUGAAUGAGAUUAAAGAUUUAUCGGUGAUGGAUGGGGAUGCGUCUGAUUAGCUUGUUGGCGGGGUAACGGCCCACCAAAGCGACGAUCAGUAGGGGUUCUGAGAGGAAGGUCCCCCACAUUGGAACUGAGACACGGUCCAAACUCCUACGGGAGGCAGCAGUGAGGAAUAUUGGUCAAUGGGCGAGAGCCUGAACCAGCCAAGUAGCGUGCAGGAUGACGGCCCUAUGGGUUGUAAACUGCUUUUAUAAGGGAAUAAAGUGAGCCUCGUGAGGCUUUUUGCAUGUACCUUAUGAAUAAGGACCGGCUAAUUCCGUGCCAGCAGCCGCGGUAAUACGGAAGGUCCGGGCGUUUUCCGGAUUUAUUGGGUUUAAAGGGAGCGUAGGCCGGAGAUUAAGCGUGUUGUGAAAUGUAGAUGCUCAACAUCUGCACUGCAGCGCGAACUGGUUUC
Molecule: ribosomal RNA, 520 nt
Filed under: uncultured Bacteroidota bacterium
Lineage: Bacteria; Pseudomonadati; Bacteroidota
Description: bacterial SSU rRNA
Rfam family: Bacterial small subunit ribosomal RNA
Source: RNAcentral